This is an RNA transcript of Sander lucioperca (pikeperch), 5815 nucleotides long. It is a transcript of the gene named formin-like 2a, with no coding region annotated. NCBI's taxonomy places the organism in Eukaryota, Metazoa, Chordata, Actinopteri, Perciformes, Percidae. The record is from RefSeq and is a predicted model, not a curated record. The transcript is spliced from 31 exons.
CUGAAAAGACUCAUUGUAGGGAGAGUGUGUGCAGCCGUGGUUUGUGUGUGUGUGGGGGGAGCCCCCUCCUCCUUAACUAGCUGGUCAGCACAGCAGCGGAGGGAUUAGUGAAGCCAGCUCCACUCUCUACAAACAGACGGAGGGGGAUUGCAAUAAGCGUGAAUCAUGCACGUCGUCAUUACUACCGGCUGGGAGUGGAGCCGAAAUUGUGCAAGAUACGGAUAACAGCGAAGAAAGGUCCGUGUGGAUCCAGUCAAGUUUCGUCUCCUCGUUACGCCGUGAAAAUGCCUCACCAGGGGCUCUGCUGCUGCCGCUGCUGCUUCUCGGACCCGUCGCAUUAUACUGCCUCCCUCACAUGUGCUUUAUGCUGAAGAAGUAACCAGGAUAUAUAGACCUGUAAGGAGUCUGUGAGAGCGGUAAACCAAAGGACGUACGGAUAUUUAUUUUCCUUUUCGCCGUGCGGGAAAUUGUCUUAAGUGGAAAAAAGAGGCAGAAAAGUUUUACUGGUUGGUCAAACAUGGGGAACGCAGGGAGCAUGGACCAGCACACUGAUUUCAGAGGACACAACAUGCCUCUGAAACUACCCAUGCCGGAGCCAGGUGAACUGGAGGAAAGGUUUGCAACCGUUUUGAACUCGAUGAAUCUUCCUCCAGACAAAGCACGACUGCUGCGGCAGUAUGACAACGAGAAGAAGUGGGAACUCAUCUGCGAUCAGGAGCGAUUCCAAGUGAAAAACCCUCCUCACACGUACCUCCAAAAGCUGAGGAGUUAUCUAGACCCAGCAGUCACACGGAAGAAAUUCAGACGGAGAGUUCAGGAGUCCACCCAAGUCCUGAGAGAACUGGAAAUUUCGUUACGGACCAAUCAUAUAGGGUGGGUUAGAGAAUUCUUAAAUGAAGAGAACAAAGGCCUGGACGUGCUGGUGGAGUAUCUUUCUUUUGCACAGUAUGCCGUCACGUUUGAUGGAGACUGUGCAGAGAACAACCCAGAGGCUGCUAUGGAUAAGUCUAAGCCCUGGAGCCGCUCUAUAGAAGACCUGCAUGGAGGAAGCACCCUGCCAUCUUCCAUCACUGGAAACGGCAUCACACGUGCUAGCCGACAUUCCACGAUACGUCAUCUGCUCCUCUGUCUGCCAGUCUUCGACAGCAGGACACCGAGCACACUGAGCUGUCCAACAUGCUCUCAAAUAAGACGCUGCAACACACUUCCGAGCCGGAGAACUCUGAAAAACUCCAGACUGGUUUGCAAGAAAGACGAUGUCCACGUCUGCAUCAUGUGCCUGCGUGCUAUCAUGAACUACCAGUAUGGCUUCAACAUGGUCAUGUCACACCCACAUGCUGUGAAUGAAAUUGCACUAAGUCUCAACAAUAAAAAUCCAAGAACUAAAGCUCUGGUCUUGGAGCUCCUGGCGGCAGUUUGUCUCGUGAGAGGAGGCCAUGAAAUUAUUCUCUCUGCAUUCGACAACUUUAAGGAGGUGUGCAUUGAGACACAGCGAUUUGAGAGGCUAAUGGAGUAUUUCAAGAACGAGGACAACAAUAUCGACUUCAUGGUGGCCUGUAUGCAGUUCAUCAACAUAGUCGUGCACUCAGUGGAGGACAUGAACUUCAGAGUUCACCUACAGUACGACUUCACCAAGUUGUGUCUGGACGACAACUUAGACAAAUUAAAGCAUACAGAGAGCGAUAAGCUACAGGUUCAGAUCCAGGCCUACUUGGAUAAUGUGUUUGACGUGGGAGCCCUUCUGGAGGAUGCCGAGACCAAAAAUGCUGCCCUGGAGCGUGUGGAGGAGCUGGAGGAGAACAUGUCACAUAUGACAGAGAAGCUGCAGGACACGGAGAACGAGGCCAUGUCCAAGAUCGUGGAGCUGGAAAAGCAGCUGAUGCAAAGGAACAAGGAGCUUGAAUCGAUCAGGGAAGUCUACAAAGAUACCAGCUCGCAGGUCCACUCACUGCGGCAGAUGUUGAAGGAGAAGGACGAGGCCAUCCAGCGACAGAGUAACCUGGAGAAGAAGAUCCACGAACUUGAGAAACAAGGCACCAUCAAGAUCCACAAGAAGGGAGAUGGAGACAUCUCCAUCCUGCCCUCACCGCCCUCCGGUGUGGAGGGCUUGCUGGGUGUUGUGAUGGGAGCAAAUGGCGCAGCAAAUCAUGUGGGAGUGGUAACCGGCACGCUGGCUCCACCACCACCUCCUCCACUGCCAGUGAACGGCACAUUGUCAAACGGACCAUCAGCAGUCAUUCCUGCAGCAGCUCCCCCACCUCCACCGCCUCCCCCUCCACCUCCGCCUCCUCCCCCAGGGCCAGCCUCACAGAUCUCAGCACCUAUGCCCCCUCCGCCUCCUCCUGUAGCGCCCCCACUGCCCGGCUGUGGGACGCCUACGGUCAUCAUGAACUCUGGGUUAGCAGAGGGACCCAUCAAACUUUUCUCUGUUAAGAUCAAGAAACCCAUCAAGACAAAGUUCCGUAUGCCCGUCUUCAACUGGGUAGCCCUGAAACCAAACCAGAUCAACGGGACUGUCUUCAAUGAGAUUGAUGACGAGAGGAUACUUGAGGACCUGAACGUGGACGAGUUUGAGGAGAUGUUUAAGACUAAAGCCCAGGGCCCGGCUAUUGACCUCACCAUGAGCAAGCAGAAGGUCAUCCAGAAGGGGCCCAACAAGGUGGCGCUACUGGACUCCAACAGAGCAAAGAACCUGGCCAUCACACUGAGGAAAGUGGGCAAGACUCCUGAGGAGAUCUGCAAGGCCAUUCAGAUCUUUGACCUGCGAACUCUGCCGGUGGACUUCGUGGAGUGUCUGAUGCGCUUCCAGCCCACCGAGAAUGAGAUUAAAAUCAUGCGGCAGUAUGAGAAGGAGCGCAAGCCACUAGAGAGCCUGCCGGACGAGGACCGCUUUAUGAUGCAGUUUAGUAAAAUCGAGAGGCUCAUGCAGAAGAUGACCAUCAUGGCCUUCAUCGGCAACUUCUGUGAGAGCGUGCAGAUGCUCACACCGCAAAUUCAUGCAGUCAUUGCAGCAUCUGUGUCCAUCAAGUCCUCACAGAAACUAAAGAAAAUUCUAGAGAUCAUCUUGGCACUCGGAAACUACAUGAACAGCAGCAAAAGAGGAGCUGUGUAUGGAUUCAAGCUGCAAAGUUUAGACUUGCUACUGGAUACCAAGUCGACAGACCGUAAGAUGACGUUGUUACACUACAUAGCCAAUGUGGUAAAGGAGAAAUACUCACAAGUUUCUCUCUUCUACAACGAGCUGCACUACGUGGAGAAAGCUGCAGCAGUGUCAUUGGACAACGUCCUGCUGGAUGUUAGGGAGCUGCAGAGAGGCAUGGAGCUGACCAAAAGAGAGUACAGCAUGCACGGCCACAACACCAUGCUCAAAGACUUCAUCACACACAAUGAGAGCAAGCUGAAGAAGCUGCAGGAUGAUGCCAAGAUUGCACAGGAUGCCUUUGACGAGGCAGUGAAGUUCUUCGGGGAGAACUCUAAAACAACGCCACCCUCCGUCUUCUUCCCGGUGUUUGUGCGAUUUGUUAGGGCUUACAGGCAAGCAGAAGAGGACAACGAGCAGAAAAAGAGAGCAGAGCAGAUUUUGAUGGAGAAACUUCUAGAACAGGAGGCCAUGAUGGAGGAAGACCAGAAGUCUCCUCAUAAGAACAAACGGCAGCAGCAAGAGCUGAUCCAGGAGCUCAGGAGGAAACAGGUGAAAGACAGUCGCCACGUCUACGAAGGCAAAGAUGGAGCGAUUGAGGACAUCAUCACGGUGCUGAAGACAGUGCCCUUUACCGCCCGCACAGCCAAGCGAGGCUCUCGGUUCUUCUGCGAGCCCGCCCUCAAUGACGAGUACCAUUACUAAGCUUGUAGAACUGUCUCUCUGCUCUAAGCCCUAAAGAAGAAUAAUAUUAAUAAAUUUCCCAAUGUCUACUCGAGGAUUUGAGGAAUCAGCCUUACAGGCGAGCAGACGCUGUGCGGAGGAGUGUCAGGAGACGCUUUGAUGAUCAGAACCUGCGGCCGGUGAACAAUGGUGAAGUGAUGAUGUGACGAGGGAACGGUGCAUGUGCUGUUGGGGGUUGAAGAUGGCGAGGAUGUGUAAGAGAGGGAGAGACAGGAGGUUCGAUGCAGAGUGAAGGAUAAGUGAAAGAUGACAAGCGUAGCAACCAUAGAGAUGUGUAUGUAUAUAUAUUACAUAAGAAUACACGUUAUUCCAUGUCUGUGGUAUAGUAGCAGCUUUUCACUAUGAAGGACUGGGAGCUGUAUGGGACUGCAUUUAAAGUGUCUGAAAGGUUGAUUCAGAACCCAAGUGCCUGAACUUAUUUUUGUGGGCUAAUGUCACGCAUGUCUUCUGUUUGUCUGAUGACUGUUUGUAAUAUUCCCCACUUCAAGCAAUACAAUUUGACCUGGCUUUAAUUUUAAGAUGUGUAAAACUGGACUUGCGGUGGCCUUAAGGGCCACGUGAAGAGAUGCUUCCUUGGAAACAUAACGUAGAAUGUAUGGGACACGUUCCCUGUAGCUGUUACAAGUAUUACAUCUUGUAGUGUUGAGUUUGACGGUCUGUAGUAUCUCGAUACAUUCCGGUGCUCUUUUUCAUUCCUCUUGCUAUACAAAUGUGCUCAACUUGCACUUUUUGCAUCUAAUGAGGUUUUUCAACUUUGACUAAAAGGGCUGAUGUUCAGGCAUGAAGAAAGUGAUCAGAAAAGUAAUUAAAUAUCUAUAUUUGUACUAAAGUAAGUUUUAAGGAUGAUGAAAAAUGAACGGAAAAGACAAAACCAUUUCAAAACAAGACUGGGCUAAUGUGAAUUGUACAGUAUAUACCAGGCCUCUCUCCAUGCUGACUUCUCUUUCAUAAUGUGUUACAGUUAAUGGAUCAAGCCUGACAUUGUAGCCCUUAAUCCGUAGAAGUAGGCCGCCUGCUCACAUAAAACUCUACCGUCCAUUUAAAAAAGAGCAGUUUGUCUGGUGUCUGGGAACAAAUUACAAGUGAAUGAGCCUGUAAAACAAACAUAGAAACUGCAUGAAAGAUACUGAACCUAACUGGAUAUAACUUUGCAUUUCAUCUCUGUCAACUUAUUUUUCACAGAUUAGUUACAUUCCAGGCUACUGCAUCUACUCACUUUAUUGUAAUUUUAAUGUAUAGUAUUUAACCACUGAAAGGAUUCCUUUAACCUCAUGUUUUCAUUUAAUGUGUCCAUGGUCAUCAGAAACCUGGCAAAACAAAAGUAUACAACACAAAAGUUUCCUAAAUGUACAGAUAUUUUGCAACAAACCAUGCUUUUUUUUUUUUUUUUUUUUUUUUUUUUUUACUUAUUUCACAUUACCAGAUGGUUAAUAUUGUACAUAUUGUUUAAACAAAAGUUUUCAUUGCCUUGUGUUAUACAACUUGAAUGUUAUUUUAACUUAUAGUUUUUGUUUUCCAUUUUUUGUAUAUUUAAUUAAGCCAAAUGCAGCCAGAAGCUACAGUAGUGUUAAAUCCUAAUAGUCUCACGGUGAUGCAGAUCACUGACUUGUGGGUGUGUCACAGGUGCAUCAAAGCCAGCUACAAAAACAUGACCUGAUUUGCAAGUGUUGGUACAUUUGAACAUAUGUAUAACUUCUAAUCAUAGACAUUGUAUCUAAUAAAACUAAUUUCUAUUAGUUGACCUGUGACUAGCUGGAUUUGUGGCUUAGUGAUGCACCCUCCUGUAAUUCUCUCCACUAAAGCACAUUCAUCUCCUAAUCCAUCAACUUCUGUCAUUGUGACAUUUCUCUAACUGGAUAAUACUGGCAUUUUUUUUAUUUUUUUUUUUUUUACUUCCACCAGAAAUGUAUUUUAGGCAGUUUGUGCUUAUUA